AACGAGGCCGACCUGCGGCUGAGUUACCUGCGGAGGGAUCAUUAUUGAAUAAACUGCCUUGAUAGGUUGUUGCUGGCCUCUAGGGGCAUGUGCACGCCUGUCUUGACUCUAUUCAUCCACCUGUGCACCUUUUGUAGUCCUUUCCUUUCUGAUAUGACAUCCAUUCAGCUGAGACAUGCUGGAUUUGAGGUGUGCCUUGUGUGCUUACUUGGCUUUCCUUUGUGGGGUCUUACUCAGAAA
This 240-nucleotide unclassified non-coding RNA is filed under the name soil metagenome. RNAcentral describes it as "partial contains 5.8S ribosomal RNA, internal transcribed spacer 2, and large subunit ribosomal RNA". The record is from RNAcentral.